Molecule: ribosomal RNA, 301 nt
Filed under: uncultured bacterium
Lineage: Bacteria
Description: partial 16S ribosomal RNA
Rfam family: Bacterial small subunit ribosomal RNA
Source: RNAcentral
CAGUCGCCGCGGUAAUACGUAGGUGGCAAGCGUUGUCCGGAAUUAUUGGGCGUAAAGGGCUCGCAGGCGGUUUCUUAGGUCUGAUGUGAAAGCCCCCGGCUCAACCGGGGAGGGCCAUUGGAAACUGGGAAACUUGAGUGCAGAAGAGGAGAGUGGAAUUCCACGUGUAGCGGUGAAAUGCGUAGAGAUGUGGAGGAACACCAGUGGCGAAGGCGACUCUCUGGUCUGUAACUGACGCUGAGGAGCGAAAGCGUGGGGAGCGAACAGGAUUAGAGACCCGCGUAGUCCCUGUCUCUUAUAC